UAGUCCACGCCGUAAACGAUGCUAACUGGUUGUUGGCGCUACAUUGUCAGCGACUGAGGGAAACCAUUAAGUUAGCCACCUGGGGAGUACGUCGGCAACGAUGAAACUCAAAGGAAUUGACGGGGGCCCGCACAAGCGGUGGAACAUGUGGUUUAAUUCGAUGAUACGCGAGGAACCUUACCUGGGCUUAAAUGUAGUGUGCAUUAGUGGGAAACCAUUAUUUCUCUUCGGAGACUUAUUACAAGGUGCUGCAUGGCUGUCGUCAGCUCGUGCCGUGAGGUGUCGGGUUAAGUCCCAUAACGAGCGCAACCCCUAUUCUUAGUUGCCAGCGAGUAAUGUCGGGGACUCUAAGGAGACUGCCAGCGUAUGCCGCGAGGAAGGUGGGGACGACGUCAAAUCAUCAUGGCCUUUAUGCCUAGGGCGACACACGUGCUACAAUGGUGCAUACAGAGGGUUGCGAAGCCGCGAGGUGGAGCUAAUCUCAGAAAGUGCAUCUC
Molecule: ribosomal RNA, 497 nt
Filed under: uncultured bacterium
Lineage: Bacteria
Description: bacterial SSU rRNA
Rfam family: Bacterial small subunit ribosomal RNA
Source: RNAcentral